Molecule: ribosomal RNA, 459 nt
Filed under: uncultured bacterium
Lineage: Bacteria
Description: partial 16S ribosomal RNA
Rfam family: Bacterial small subunit ribosomal RNA
Source: RNAcentral
CCUACGGGGGGCUGCAGUGAGGAAUAUUGGUCAAUGGGCGCGAGCCUGAACCAGCCAAGUAGCGUGAAGGAUGACUGCCCUACGGGUUGUAAACUUCUUUUAUAAAGGAAUAAAGUGAGGCACGUGUGCCUUUUUGUAUGUACUUUAUGACUAAGGAUCGGCUAACUCCGUGCCAGCAGCCGCGGUAAUACGGAGGCUCCGAGGGUUAUCCGGAUUUAUUGGGUUUAAAGGGAGCGUAGAUGGGUUGUUAAGUCAGUGGUAAACAUUCGGUGCUCAACCCCGUCGUGCCGUUGAAACUGAUGUUCUUGAGUGGGCGAGAAGUAUGCGGAAGGCGUGGUGUAGCGGUGAAAUGCAUAGAUAUCACGCAGAACUCCGAUUGCGAAGGCAGCAUACCGGCGCCCAACUGACGCUGAAGCACGAAAGCGUGGGUAUCGAACAGGAUUAGAUACCCUGGUAGUC